This 496-nucleotide ribosomal RNA is filed under the name uncultured bacterium. RNAcentral's name for it is "partial 16S ribosomal RNA". It matches the Rfam family "Bacterial small subunit ribosomal RNA", at positions 28 to 506 of the family's 1533-position model. The record is from RNAcentral.
GAUGAACGCUGGCGGCGUGCCUAAUACAUGCAAGUCGAGCGAACAGACGAGGAGCUUGCUCCUCUGACGUUAGCGGCGGACGGGUGAGUAACACGUGGAUAACCUACCUAUAAGACUGGGAUAACUUCGGGAAACCGGAGCUAAUACCGGAUAAUAUAUUGAACCGCAUGGUUCAAUAGUGAAAGACGGUUUUGCUGUCACUUAUAGAUGGAUCCGCGCCGCAUUAGCUAGUUGGUAAGGUAACGGCUUACCAAGGCAACGAUGCGUAGCCGACCUGAGAGGGUGAUCGGCCACACUGGAACUGAGACACGGUCCAGACUCCUACGGGAGGCAGCAGUAGGGAAUCUUCCGCAAUGGGCGAAAGCCUGACGGAGCAACGCCGCGUGAGUGAUGAAGGUCUUCGGAUCGUAAAACUCUGUUAUUAGGGAAGAACAAGUGUGUAAGUAACUAUGCACGUCUUGACGGUACCUAAUCAGAAAGCCACGGCUAACUACGU